RNAcentral lists this ribosomal RNA (253 nucleotides) under uncultured bacterium. RNAcentral describes it as "partial 16S ribosomal RNA". It matches the Rfam family "Bacterial small subunit ribosomal RNA", at positions 524 to 776 of the family's 1533-position model. The record is from RNAcentral.
UACGGAGUGUGCAAGCGUUACUCGGAAUCACUGGGCAUAAAGGGCGUGUAGGCGGGCUUUCAAGUCGGUUGUGAAAUCCCUCAGCUCAACUGAGGAACUGCAUCCGAUACUGUUUGUCUUGAGGACGAGAGGGGAGAGUGGAACUUCUGGUGGAGCGGUGAAAUGCGUAGAUAUUGGGAGGAACACCGGUGGCGAAGGCGGCCCUCUGGACCGGUACUGACGCUGAUGCGCGAAAGCGUGGGGAGCAAACGGG